This 800-nucleotide ribosomal RNA is filed under the name uncultured Actinomyces sp. Its description in RNAcentral is "bacterial SSU rRNA". It matches the Rfam family "Bacterial small subunit ribosomal RNA", at positions 71 to 864 of the family's 1533-position model. Lineage: Bacteria; Bacillati; Actinomycetota; Actinomycetes; Actinomycetales; Actinomycetaceae. The record is from RNAcentral.
AUACCAAGCUUGCUUGGUUGAUUAGUGGCGAACGGGUGAGUAACACGUGAGUAACCUGCCCCUUACUUUCCUGGAUAACUGCUCGAAAGGGUAGCUAGUACGGGAUAUUCUGACCAUCCUGCAUGGGUUGGUUUGGAAAGGUUGUUUUUCUGGUAAGGGAUGGGCUCGCGGCCUAUCAGCUUGUUGGUGGGGUGAUGGCCUACCAAGGCUUUGACGGGUAGCCGGCCUGAGAGGGUGGACGGUCACACUGGGACUGAGAUACGGCCCAGACUCCUACGGGAGGCAGCAGUGGGGAAUAUUGCACAAUGGGCGCAAGCCUGAUGCAGCGACGCCGCGUGAGGGAUGAAGGCCUUCGGGUUGUAAACCUCUUUCGUCAGGGAACAAGGCACUGCUUUGGUGGUGUUGAGGGUACCUGGAUAAGAAGCGCCGGCUAACUACGUGCCAGCAGCCGCGGUAAUACGUAGGGCGCAAGCGUUGUCCGGAAUUAUUGGGCGUAAAGAGCUCGUAGGCGGCUGGUCGCGUCUGUCGUGAAAACUUCCGGCUCAACGGGGGCUUGCGGUGGGUACGGGCCGGCUAGAGUGCGGUAGGGGUAACUGGAACUCCUGGUGUAGCGGUGGAAUGCGCAGAUAUCAGGAAGAACACCGAUGGCGAAGGCGGGUUACUGGGCCGUUACUGACGCUGAGGAGCGAAAGCGUGGGGAGCGAACAGGAUUAGAUACCCUGGUAGUCCACGCCGUAAACGUUGGGCACUAGGUGUGAGGCUCCUUUCCGGGGGUUUUGCGCCGUAGCUAACGCAUUAAG